Long non-coding RNA from Panicum virgatum (switchgrass), 665 nucleotides. RefSeq lists it as uncharacterized. The transcript is spliced from 3 exons. NCBI's taxonomy places the organism in Eukaryota, Viridiplantae, Streptophyta, Magnoliopsida, Poales, Poaceae. The record is from RefSeq and is a predicted model, not a curated record.
CUUUUCGUGACCUUGCAGGGGGAGGAACUUCGUAGACAAAUUGGUGCUAUGUAUUACAUUGAGUGCAGCUCAAAGACACAGCAGAAUGUCAAAGCUGUGUUUGAUGCUGCCAUCAAGGUAGUAAUCCAGCCUCCAACUAAACUAAGAGAAAAGAAGAAAAAGAAAUCACGCAAAGGAUGUUCCAUGAUGGACAUUUUCUGUGGAAGGAAAAUGCUAUGCUUCAAAUCCUGAAUGAUUGAAGAGGAGGGUCUUAUACAUGACGAAAUAUCAGGAGAAUGACCACAAGUUCGUGAAGCUUGAAGUCUGAAUGUGCUUGUUGCACAUGUGUAUAUCUGCACCUUUGGUUAUUAAUCAGUAGAUGUAGAUGAUUGAAACUAGUCUGCUUAAGCAUGGUGCACUGCUGGUGCGGUUAGCUCUCCCUCUGAAUUAGGCAGUUCGACGGAGGCCAAAGAGACAAUAAGAUUUUGUUCUGUCAUGGCGAAGUCAAAGCUUUUGUGAAUCUGAUCUCGUCGUAUUAUCUGUUAGCUACUAGCUUAUCCCAUGAUUCCAUGUCAGAAUCCGUAGCAACAUUCGAGUUUUUGCUUGUCUUGAGCACAGGUAUGUGAUAUUCUAGUCGUAGCAGAGAUACUUUCAAGCAAUCAAGCUGAUUGUUAAAGUUUCUUUUA